RNAcentral lists this ribosomal RNA (356 nucleotides) under Bufotes boulengeri (African green toad). RNAcentral describes it as "partial 12S ribosomal RNA". It matches the Rfam family "Bacterial small subunit ribosomal RNA", at positions 870 to 1394 of the family's 1533-position model. The record is from RNAcentral. Lineage: Eukaryota; Metazoa; Chordata; Amphibia; Anura; Bufonidae.
CGCCUGGGAACUACGAGCUAAGCUUAAAACCCAAAGGACUUGACGGUACCCCAUAUCCCCCUAGAGGAGCCUGUCCUAUAAUCGAUAAUCCACGUUUAACCUCACCACUCCUAGUUAAUCAGCCUGUAUACCUCCGUCGUCAGCUUACCACGUGAGCGUAAAUUAGUGAGCCCAAUGUUAUUUCACCAACACGUCAGGUCAAGGUGCAGCAAAUGAAGUGGGAAGAGAUGGGCUACACUUUCUAUUUUAGAAAAAACGAAAAACUACCUAUGAAACCUAGUUAGAAGGCGGAUUUAGCAGUAAAAAGAAAUCAGCAUGUUCAUUUUAACCCGGCACUGGGGUGUGUACACACCGCC